Molecule: transfer RNA, 84 nt
Filed under: Candidatus Omnitrophota bacterium
Lineage: Bacteria; Pseudomonadati; Candidatus Omnitrophota
Description: Candidatus Omnitrophica bacterium tRNA-Leu
Rfam family: tRNA
About the family: Transfer RNA (tRNA) molecules are approximately 80 nucleotides in length. Their secondary structure includes four short double-helical elements and three loops (D, anti-codon, and T loops).
Source: RNAcentral
GCCGAGGUGGCGGAAUUGGCAUACGCGUCGGUCUCAAAAACCGAUGAGGGCAACUUCAUGCGGGUUCAACUCCCGCCCUCGGCA